This 249-nucleotide unclassified non-coding RNA is filed under the name Hevea brasiliensis (rubber tree). Lineage: Eukaryota; Viridiplantae; Streptophyta; Magnoliopsida; Malpighiales; Euphorbiaceae. The record is from RNAcentral.
UGAAUAAUGAAUUAUUUAAAAUCUACAGGAACAAUUUGCCCAUUUCUAUUAUAGUAAAUAUCUCACACAUUCUCUCAACAAUUACAGGAUAAGAAAUCCAGAGACACCAAUUAACCAAAUUUGAAGCAGGCUGCAACCUGAGAAGUGGCAGGAAACUGAUCGCAUCCCCUACGCCUUGUUAGCAAUGUUGUUGGAGAGCCAGUCCAGUCCUUCAUAGAGGCCUUCACCUGAAGUGGCACAUGUGCUCUG